AGACGCCAGCCUAGGGAGGGGUGAGGAGGAGGCUGCACUGGCGCUUGGGUCGCCGCACCGCCCCGCAGCCUCGCGCUCUCCGCAGUGACAGCAACCGCAACCGCAGCAGCACCCAGCUCCAUCCUCACCAGCCUGGCCGAGCCACAGCCCGGCAAUUCGGGCUGAGGGCGACAAGCAGAAGGUGUGCAGGUGCCCCCGAGCCCCCCACUCCAUUGACAGAAGCUCAAGAAACCGGGAGUGGGCUAGCGGCGGAAUUGCACGGAGGGGGCUGAGAAAAAGAGGAGUGGAGACCAUGGAAGCGAUUCAGGCAGGGAUGUGGCUUCUCUUAGCUGAAUAAUCCGUUAAAGGAAUAAUAAUUUUUAAAAAGGACC
This 371-nucleotide long non-coding RNA is filed under the name Mus pahari (shrew mouse). Its description in RNAcentral is "lncRNA (MGP_PahariEiJ_G0006406.1)". Lineage: Eukaryota; Metazoa; Chordata; Mammalia; Rodentia; Muridae. The record is from RNAcentral.